AGUUUGAUCCUGGCUCAGGAUGAACGCUGGCGGCGUGCCUAACACAUGCAAGUCGAGCGAAGCGAUUUGACGGAAGUUUUCGGAUGGAAGACAAAUUGACUGAGCGGCGGACGGGUGAGUAACGCGUGGGUAACCUGCCUCAUACAGGGGGAUAACAGUUAGAAAUGACUGCUAAUACCGCAUAAGCGCACAGCAUCGCAUGGUGCAGUGUGAAAAACUCCGGUGGUAUGAGAUGGACCCGCGUCUGAUUAGCUGGUUGGUGGGGUAACGGCUCACCAAGGCGACGAUCAGUAGCCGACCUGAGAGGGUGAUCGGCCACAUUGGGACUGAGACACGGCCCAAACUCCUACGGGAGGCAGCAGUGGGGAAUAUUGCACAAUGGGGGAAACCCUGAUGCAGCAACGCCGCGUGAGUGAAGAAGUAUUUCGGUAUGUAAAGCUCUAUCAGCAGGGAAGAAAAUGACGGUACCUGACUAAGAAGCCCCGGCUAACUACGUGCCAGCAGCCGCGGUAAUACGUAGGGGGCAAGCGUUAUCCGGAUUUACUGGGUGUAAAGGGAGCGUAGACGGCGCUGCAAGUCUGAAGUGAAAGCCCGGGGCUCAACCCCGGGACUGCUUUGGAAACUGUAAUGCUAGAGUGCUGGAGAGGUAAGUGGAAUUCCUAGUGUAGCGGUGAAAUGCGUAGAUAUUAGGAGGAACACCAGUGGCGAAGGCGGCUUACUGGACAGUAACUGACGUUGAGGCUCGAAAGCGUGGGGAGCAAACAGGAUUAGAUACCCUGGUAGUCCACGCGGUAAACGAUGAAUGCUAGGUGUUGGGGAGGAAAAGCUCUUCGGUGCCGUAGCAAAACGCAAUAACCAUUCCACCUGGGGAGUACGUUCGCAAGAAUGAAACUCAAAGGAAUUGACGGGGACCCGCACAAGCGGUGGAGCAUGUGGUUUAAUUCGAAGCAACGCGAAGAACCUUACCAAGUCUUGACAUCCUUCUGACCGGCGCGUAACGGCGCCUUCUCUUCGGAGCAGGAGUGACAGGUGGUGCAUGGUUGUCGUCAGCUCGUGUCGUGAGAUGUUGGGUUAAGUCCCGCAACGAGCGCAACCCUUAUCCUUAGUAGCCAGCAGUAAGAUGGGCACUCUAGGGAGACUGCCAGGGAUAACCUGGAGGAAGGUGGGGAUGACGUCAAAUCAUCAUGCCCCUUAUGAUUUGGGCUACACACGUGCUACAAUGGCGUAAACAAAGGGAAGCGAAGCCGCGAGGUGAAGCAAAUCCCAAAAAUAACGUCCCAGUUCGGAUUGUAGGCUGCAACUCGCCUGCAUGAAGCUGGAAUCGCUAGUAAUCGCGAAUCAGAAUGUCGCGGUGAAUACGUUCCCGGGUCUUGUACUCACCGCCCGUCA
RNAcentral lists this ribosomal RNA (1389 nucleotides) under uncultured bacterium. Its description in RNAcentral is "bacterial SSU rRNA". It matches the Rfam family "Bacterial small subunit ribosomal RNA". The record is from RNAcentral.